GAGAGAGAGAGAGAGAGAGCAGGGGAGGGACUAUCAUCAUAUAAUUGAAGUCCUUACUUUUGGUACCAAUGUCAUUCAAUUAACCAAGAACUGUCAGUAGGGAAAUACAGCAAUCGCUAGUGGAAAUUGGUGAUAAAAAUCCUUGUUUUAUUGGCUCAUGUGAAUGGAUUGGUGCUAUUGACUUGAGCUUUGUUUUGGAUAAACUU
This 206-nucleotide unclassified non-coding RNA is filed under the name Hevea brasiliensis (rubber tree). Lineage: Eukaryota; Viridiplantae; Streptophyta; Magnoliopsida; Malpighiales; Euphorbiaceae. The record is from RNAcentral.